GAAUCUGAGAUCAACCCUCAUCUAGCAGGAAGUUUCUAGAACACUGAACAACUGAAUCUGAGAUCAACCCUCAUCUAGCAGGAAGUCUCUAGAACACUAAACAACUGAAUCUGAGAUCAACCCUCAUCUAGCAGGAAGUUUCUAUACUCAACGAUAAUGAUAAUGGGUAAAUAAGCUCGAGAGCAACCCUCAUCUCGCAGGAAGUCUCUCUACUCAAUGAUAAUGAUAACAAUACUGGGAGGCCUAUAUCUGAC
Molecule: long non-coding RNA, 254 nt
Filed under: Capsicum annuum
Lineage: Eukaryota; Viridiplantae; Streptophyta; Magnoliopsida; Solanales; Solanaceae
Description: long non-coding RNA (CANN_LNC002721)
Source: RNAcentral